GGCCGCAGUAUUUUGACUGUGCAAAGGUAGCAUAAUCAUUAGUCUUUUAAUUGAAGGCUGGUAUGAAUGGUUGGACGAGGCAUAAGCUAUCUUAUAGUAAUUUUUGUUGAAUUUAGGAUUUAAGUAAAAACACUUAAUUUGUAUUAAGGGACGAGAAGACCCUAUAGAGUUUAAUAUAUGAAUCAUUAAUUAGGUUAUAGUAUGAAAUUUUUAAUUUGUGUAUAGUAUAUUUAAUUGGGGUGAUUAAAAGAUAAAAAAAACUCUUAUUUUUAGUUAAUAAUUUAGUUAAAUUAUGGAUCCAUAAUUAAUGAUCAAAAGAUUAAAUUACCUUAGGGAUAACAGCAUAA
Molecule: ribosomal RNA, 347 nt
Filed under: Stenomantis novaeguineae
Lineage: Eukaryota; Metazoa; Arthropoda; Insecta; Mantodea; Liturgusidae
Description: partial 16S ribosomal RNA
Source: RNAcentral